CACGUAGGGUGCGAGCGUUGUCCGGAAUUAUUGGGCGUAAAGGGCGCGUAGGUGGUUCUGUAUGUCUACCGUGAAAGCGUACGGCUCAACCGUAUUUUGUCGGUAGAAACUGCAGGACUUGAGGCUGGGAGAGGCUGGUGGAAUUCCCUGUGUAGCGGUGAAAUGCGUAGAGAUGGGGGAGAACACUCGUGGCGAAGGCGGCCAGCUAGACCAGUUCUGACACUGAGGCGCGACAGCGUGGGGAGCAAACAGG
Molecule: ribosomal RNA, 253 nt
Filed under: uncultured bacterium
Lineage: Bacteria
Description: partial 16S ribosomal RNA
Rfam family: Bacterial small subunit ribosomal RNA
Source: RNAcentral